This is a long non-coding RNA of Mastomys coucha (southern multimammate mouse), 842 nucleotides long. RefSeq lists it as uncharacterized. The record is from RefSeq and is a predicted model, not a curated record. Lineage: Eukaryota; Metazoa; Chordata; Mammalia; Rodentia; Muridae. The transcript is spliced from 4 exons.
CAGAUUCUAUAUCACCACUGUUAGGAGUGACAGUUAAAGUCACCCCCAUAGACACCUGGGAAACAGGACCAAGAAUGAUUGGAAAUCAGUAGCUGGCUGUGCUAGGUGGUUAGGGGGCAUCUCUAUGAGCUUCCUAUAUCUUUGAUUAACAUAAUCAUAGAAAUGGUAGAAGCUAUAAUUUGAUAUGAUGUUCGAAUAUCAGUUCAUUUUACAUGUAAUGUAAGUAAAUAUCAAACUACCAACAAAUAAAUAAAGACAGGAACCUAGCAUAACUCUCCUGAGAGACUUCUUCUAGCAUCAGAUGUAGACAGAUGAAGAAACCCAGAGCCAAACACUAGGAAAAGCUCUGAAUUUUUGAGGAAGAGGGAAGGAUAGAAGUGAACAGGCUGGAGGUGUGAAGGACACCACAAGAAGAUGUACAAAUCACAGAGACCAGGCUCUUUCUGUUGGGGGUCUCCCUCCUGCGACAUUAGAGCUUACAACCAGAGACUGUCAGCUCAAGUCUGUUGUGUCUAGGACAAAGGCCCACUGCCCUGAGUUUCGCCUUCGAGGAUUCUGGAGGAAAGUACACCUGGUGGCUGACACGUCUGCUGGCUGAGGACAUUGUUGAAUGAAAACAAACUGACCUCCUGAGGGCAUCUGCUGUUGACCGCCACUCUCCAGAGCUGACAUGCCCGGCAGUCCAGCUUUUUCUUUGACAUCCCCUUGACUUUUUUCUGACUCCUCCCACAUUGUUUAUGUCAUGCAAAUGUCAUUAUAACCUAGAGAUCCAAUUUCACUUUCUUACAUAUAAAUGCUAAACCCCCAAAAUAAAGCGGCAAGCCUUCAUUAAAAACCUUCAA